AGAGUUUGAUCCUGGCUCAGGAUGAACGCUGGCGGCGUGCUUAACACAUGCAAGUCGAACGGACUCAUAUUGAAACCUAGUGAUUUAUGAGUUAGUGGCGGACGGGUGAGUAACGCGUGGAUAACCUGCCGUAUACCGGGGGAUAACACUUAGAAAUAGGUGCUAAUACCGCAUAAGCGCACGGCUCCGCAUGGGGCAGUGUGAAAAACUCCGGUGGUAUACGAUGGAUCCGCGUCUGAUUAGCUAGUUGGCGGGGUAACGGCCCACCAAGGCAGCGAUCAGUAGCCGGCCUGAGAGGGUGGACGGCCACAUUGGGACUGAGACACGGCCCAAACUCCUACGGGAGGCAGCAGUGGGGAAUAUUGCACAAUGGGGGAAACCCUGAUGCAGCGACGCCGCGUGAGUGAAGAAGUAUCUCGGUACGUAAAGCUCUAUCAGCAGGGAAGAAAAUGACGGUACCUGACUAAGAAGCCCCGGCUAACUACGUG
Molecule: ribosomal RNA, 488 nt
Filed under: uncultured Lachnospiraceae bacterium
Lineage: Bacteria; Bacillati; Bacillota; Clostridia; Lachnospirales; Lachnospiraceae
Description: bacterial SSU rRNA
Rfam family: Bacterial small subunit ribosomal RNA
Source: RNAcentral